RNAcentral lists this transfer RNA (68 nucleotides) under Fukomys damarensis (Damara mole-rat). It matches the Rfam family "tRNA". Rfam says of the family: Transfer RNA (tRNA) molecules are approximately 80 nucleotides in length. Their secondary structure includes four short double-helical elements and three loops (D, anti-codon, and T loops). The record is from Rfam by way of RNAcentral. Lineage: Eukaryota; Metazoa; Chordata; Mammalia; Rodentia; Bathyergidae.
GGUAUAUAGCUUAGUGGUAGAGUGCUUACUUAGCAUGUAUGAGGCCCUGGGUACAUUUCCCAGUACCA